RNAcentral lists this ribosomal RNA (407 nucleotides) under uncultured bacterium. Its description in RNAcentral is "bacterial SSU rRNA". It matches the Rfam family "Bacterial small subunit ribosomal RNA", at positions 354 to 775 of the family's 1533-position model. The record is from RNAcentral.
AUUAGGAAUCUUGCGCAAUGGGGGAAACCCUGACGCAGCGACGCCGCGUGGAGGAGGAAGUCCUUCGGGAUGUAAACUCCUUUUGCCAGGGAAGAAAAAGAUGACGGUACCUGGUGAAUAAGCCCCGGCUAACUACGUGCCAGCAGCCGCGGUAAUACGUAGGGGGCGAGCGUUGUCCGAAGUUACUGGGCGUAAAGCGCGCGUAGGCGGGCCUUUAAGUGAGACGUGAAAGCCCGGGGCUCAACCCCGGAGGGUCGUUUCAUACUGGCGGUCUUGAGGGAGGCAGGGAGAAGUGGAAUGGCUGGUGUAGCGGUGAAAUGCGUAGAGAUCAGUCGGAACACCGGUGGCGAAGGCGGCUUCUUGGGCCUUUCCUGACGCUGAGGCGCGAAAGCUGGGGGAGCGAACGG